Molecule: ribosomal RNA, 253 nt
Filed under: uncultured bacterium
Lineage: Bacteria
Description: partial 16S ribosomal RNA
Rfam family: Bacterial small subunit ribosomal RNA
Source: RNAcentral
UACGUAGGGUGCGAGCGUUGUCCGGAAUUACUGGGCGUAAAGGGCGCGUAGGCGGCCUGUUAAGUCGAACGUGAAAUCCCCGGGCUCAACCCGGGAACUGCGUCCGAUACUGGCAGGCUUGAAUUCGGGAGAGGGAUGCGGAAUUCCAGGUGUAGCGGUGAAAUGCGUAGAUAUCUGGAGGAACACCGGUGGCGAAGGCGGCAUCCUGGACCGAGAUUGACGCUGAGGCGCGAAAGCCAGGGGAGCAAACGGG